UUUUUUUUUUUUUUUUUUUUUUUUAGGGAUACUCAUUCAUUCUUUCCUGGAAGAGAUCAGAGGUAAUCUGAAGUGAGUUUAACACUUGAGUCAGAAAGCCAAAGUGAAACCUAUACUGCAUUUCUGUUCGGCUUAUGCUAAGGUGGGUGAUACUUGCCUCAGCUCUGUAUAGAAGUAAGCUUUAUGUUAUGAAAGAAACAUGAUCUUAAUAUAUUGUCAAGCAAUGGAAACUCUAAGCCUGAAUUCCUUAAAAACACCAUCUUAUACAUAUUACUGGCAUGACAUAAAAUGCCUUAUAAAAUGAGUCUUUUUUCAUUUCCCUGAUACAUCUCGAUAACCUUUAGCUACUACUGUUUAUUUCAGAGAAAGCAAGGAACUCUCUUUUGUAUUUUAGAAUAUUAAUUAUUCUUUGUAUUCUUUUCUAUUAUUAUUAUUUGUAUUUUAGUUUCCAAAUAUUUACACAACUGAGAGCUCUCAUUCCAUAUUCCUUCAAAGCAAGAUAUAGAUAAAAUCAAUAAUAUUUACUAUAUAAUUUUUCAUUUUAUGAACUUUGGCAUUAUAUUUAUUAUAUAAUUUAAUGCAAUGCAUAUGAGAGGUCUUAACCUCUGGAGACAUUUUACUAUUAAUAGGCAGAAGUGUUCUGAUGUAUAGCUAUAGCUCAGGACACUUCAGAUGACUUCUGGUCAUUGGUACUCUGAAAGAAGUCAGAGGCUUCUGGUCCCAGUGCCCAGGAAAACCUGAAGAGAGCAUUUGACUCAGAGACUGGAAAUGUUGAUACCAGCAGGAAUGGCAGAAAAAUGCCUUGUAGCACAUGCUGCGUAAAUCUUUCUUCAAGGGAAAGAUUUCCCAUAAGGGCUACCCAAAGCAGACAAAUGUACAUGUAAAAAAUUUUGAAUGUUUUAGGCCUUAAAUUUACUCAGCGAACACCCUCAGUGUCCCAACUAUUAGGCUAUCAAUUAUACUAAAUUCUGAGGGCAAGGUAAAAUUGAACAUGAAUAAAGAUGCUCAACCAUUGCAAAUUCAGUGACUUCAGAAAAAAUCAAACAGGCAUAGGACAGCACAGAAGUGGGCCUUGCUGGGGAUGAAUUGGGAAGAGGAAUCCAGAUUUUCUCCCUACUUACAUGAGAAGCAGACAUUAAUUAUCUUCUUAUGAUCUUAUGAUUGAACAUUUGAUUCAGGAACAUAUCUAGCACAUGCAUGGUCAUGAGCACAUGCAUCAUCUCAUUGUUUUUUCAAAAUUGAAACCUGAAGCUGUAGGAUUCUAAUGAGUAACACUGGAAUUAGCCACCUGGCAGAAAGUUCAUUGUUUUUAGAGCCUGGUCAGUGAUACUCAGCCCUUGUAAAAGACAGACCUGACAAACCAAUCAUUUGGGCAACAAAUCUUGCACUGUAUUCUAGUGAGGGUGUUCACACACUGACACAAGUAUGAUUUUCAUGAGCAAAAUGAUGGUAGCUCCAUAAAUCAGCGCAGAAGUCCUUAGACCACGUGGAAGGUUACUAAACUUUGUGACACUACAUUGAAUAUUGAGUAGAAGAGAUUUUGGAUGUGAUCCUCUAUUAAUAUAAACUGUCAUUACUACAUUGACUACAUCAGCUGGGAGCGUGGCUAGAUACCAAAAGCAUUCUGAAGAGCUCUUUUUGCAUGGAUGCAUUUGUUGAUCAAAAUUUAACUGUGCAAGAAUCAGAAUGUUCCAGUUUUGUGUCAUGGGUGUACUGAAGAAUUUUCCAGUGGUUAAUGCUAUGAAAUGUGCCCAUACUCACCUACAUUUCCUAUUUCAAAUGCUGGGAUCAUUCUACUGGAUUUUUUUUUUUAGGGUUAUUUUGAAGAAAUUCUAUACAGAAGAAAAAAAUCAGGAUAUAGACUUCUCUCACAAUUCUGCUCUGGAGUAUUAUGCUGAAGAGACACAGGCUUUCUCUGUUCAGUUCAGAGGAAGUUCAAUUUAUUUAGUUAGCUGUUCUCCCAGUUUACUCGAGUGUAAUGCUGCAUGUGUGAAUUUUCACACCAGACUACACUUGGAACUUC
Strigops habroptila (Kakapo) is the source of this 2023-nucleotide long non-coding RNA. Lineage: Eukaryota; Metazoa; Chordata; Aves; Psittaciformes; Psittacidae. The record is from Ensembl.